RNAcentral lists this ribosomal RNA (426 nucleotides) under uncultured bacterium. RNAcentral's name for it is "bacterial SSU rRNA". It matches the Rfam family "Bacterial small subunit ribosomal RNA", at positions 355 to 773 of the family's 1533-position model. The record is from RNAcentral.
UGGGGAAUUUUGGACAAUGGGCGCAAGCCUGAUCCAGCCAUUCCGCGUGCAGGAUGAAGGCCCUCGGGUUGUAAACUGCUUUUGUACGGAACGAAACGCGUUGGGUUAAUACCUUGACGUAAUGACGGUACCGUAAGAAUAAGCACCGGCUAACUACGUGCCAGCAGCCGCGGUAAUACGUAGGGUGCAAGCGUUAAUCGGAAUUACUGGGCGUAAAGCGUGCGCAGGCGGUUAUGUAAGACAGGUGUGAAAUCCCCGGGCUUAACCUGGGAACUGCAUUUGUGACUGCAUAGCUAGAGUACGGUAGAGGGGGAUGGAAUUCCGCGUGUAGCAGUGAAAUGCGUAGAUAUGCGGAGGAACACCGAUGGCGAAGGCAAUCCCCUGGACCUGUACUGACGCUCAUGCACGAAAGCGUGGGGAGCAAAC